GACGAAGGUGGCGAGCGUUACUCGGAAUUACUAGGCGUAAAGCGUGAGCAGGCGGUUCGGUAAGUCUGUUGUGAAAGCCCCCAGGCUCAACCUGGGGAGGUCAAUGGAUACUGCCGGACUUGAAUACGGGAGAGGUCGCUGGAAUUCCUGGUGUAGCGGUGAAAUGCGUAGAUAUCAGGAGGAACACCGAAGGCGAAAGCAGGCGACUGGACCGUUAUUGACGCUGAGUCACGAAAGCCGGGGGAGCAAACAGG
This 254-nucleotide ribosomal RNA is filed under the name uncultured bacterium. Its description in RNAcentral is "partial 16S ribosomal RNA". It matches the Rfam family "Bacterial small subunit ribosomal RNA", at positions 524 to 776 of the family's 1533-position model. The record is from RNAcentral.